UAGUUAUUAGUGCAGCUUUAAUAACUUUUGCAUCACUGAAGAGUGUCACUGUCACUUGAAUCGUUUGCAAGGCAGCAGUGAUUUCAGUGAGUGUCAGUAUUCCAUGAAAAUACAUUUAAUGAGGUGCAGCUUGGAAGGUCAUUCAGUAAUUACAUGAGCUCCUCCCUUAAAUACUGCUCGUCACAUGUGAGCAGGAUUGGUAGUGUUUUGGGAUGCCACCAGGAGAGAAGUCUUCACCAGAUUUUGCCAGAAAUAUCAGUUCCACUGAUUCUGAUCAACAACUCUAUCAAUGUCUUUAUCAUGUCUCUCUUAAAAUAGAGAUUUAAUCUCAAUAAGAUUAAGUAAAGAUUAAAUAAAGAAAUAAAGAAAGCAGAUACAUUGUGAUUAUUUUGUAAUAAGAGUAGAAAAAACAAUACAAUAAAAGAUGCUAAAUGAUGAAGGUGACAUAGGACAUAAAACAUAAACAAUAUAAAUCUGACUUAUUACCCAUUUAAGUGUACCAACUGUGAUGUCACUUCAUGUGAACUCGACAUGUGUAUCUACAGUAUGUUCCCUGAGGCGUCUGGGAAAACGUGACUGAGCCAGCUUUGUCAGAAACCAUUCCUCAGCAUGACUCCUGUCCUUGAAUGUGACUUCUUCAUCUUCUCUGACCUCUGCAUCAACAGUGGUGAUGUGCAAUGGAUGGAAGGUGAUGGCAAGCAUGUCGCUUAAGGCAAGAGAGGCUGAGUGGAGGAGGACGUGGAGUGAUGAGGACAGAGUGACAGAAAAUGAUUUGGACUACAGAGGCAGACGGUUGCAGCUCAGUCUCAUUUGUGAAACCAAUGCUGAGCUUUGAGCAGUCAGUGCAUGGCUGACAACCAGAGGACACCAGGUCAGCUUCCACCACCUAGCUCGAGGGAAGUGCCACCGCAGGAGAGGAAUUGAUUUUAUCAGGAUUCGGCAAGCGGAAAAAGAAGGGCCACUUGAUUCCAGUCCCUGGGAUGUCCAGUGUCAUCAGUUCACUUUCACAAGACUGGUGAGUAUUAUAAACAAUAUUCCAACUAGCUUUCUGCAUUAACAUACCACACAGAUUCUCAACGAGCAAAAUAACUAGAAUGGCAAGUGUCAAAGGAAGCUUGUAGAUUAAUAUUUGUUGCACUGCUUACUGAUAUAUAUUUAGUUGGUUAAUCCAAUCACUUCAGUAUCAUUCAUUGUGCAUAUGAAUGAAAAAGAGUGAAAUGAAGCUUGGGAGAUGUCUCAAUAAAGGCAUUUAUCAAUAUAUGUUGAUUGCAAUCAAAAAUAAUGCAAUGGUGUUGAUACAUUGAAAUUUGGUUUUGUGAAUUCACACUAUUCACGUUAGCUAACUUAAUAUUAACUUGGUGCAGCGGAUGGAAAUUAACAUGAGCCUUUUGUCUAAAUCUGGCACGUUUACACCAUAUUACAGUGGUAUUGAUUGAUAGCGUCACGAUCAACAGAUCACACAGCGUAAGUCUGGAUCAUCAGUCCAGUGUGGGGCUUAGAGAGCUGUAGAGACCAUGAGGACCAACCUUGGUGUGGAUGAUAUCUGGGUUGUUCUGAGGUGAAGAACGUUCUCUGACCAGUCCAUACCAGUAAGAGCAGUACCAGAUGUCCUACUCAUCCAGUGCAGUUGAAUGACCUGAGGAGGUCACCAGCAUCCAGCUCAGACCUGCUUUACCUGCAUGUCAUCACUGCUCUCCCUGCCUCACCCAUCAAUGCCAGUCCAGGGGAGACAGACAAGGCCCGCAGGUUUGUGAACAGUGUUACGGCUAAAUUUCUUCAUUGUUUAAGUGGUAGCUUUGUACAUGACCGUGACAUAAGGUUUGGUACUCCUGGGCAAUUUUUGUGUGAUGAAGUUAAUUUCAUCCCUACAGUAAACAGUAUUUUUACUCAGUAUUGCUAAGUGUAAAUGUUAUGUUUUUAUUGAAAAUAACACUUUAUCAUCUGUGCUCUUACUAAAGACUUCUCCCGUUGCACCCCAGCCUCCAGAACUUACAUGGACUGCAGCACUGCCUUUUUAAACUACGCAUUACAUAUAAAAGUAAUGUUACUAUGUCUAUACUGUGUGUUAUCAUGUCAACUAUUUUUAUUUAUUGACGCUUAUUACUAUUUGUGAUGUAGGUCUAUUACCGCAUUUCACUAUGUACAUUUGUCUUAGGAUAAUUAAGCUUUACUGCAAUUUUUAACGUGCAGUAAGUCAGUUAUUAAAUUGUUGCUCUAUGUCAGUUGAUUUCUCCUAUGGUAUAAUUCCGGAACUAAGUUUAUUAUCAAUAUGCACAAUAAUCAAAUCACAGGAAGACAUUAAUGCCAUUUUUGUUUGUCAGAAUGUAGAUAAUUCAUUAAAAGGUCAUAUUCAAUGUCGACAACUGUUAUUACAGUUGUUGUUAUUGGCUCUAUUACUAAUACUGACAUUAUUUUUCCUAUAGCUGUCAUUCCUAUUAUUACUAAUUUAUUAAUAUUAACACUACAAUUACUAUUCUACUAUUUAAAAA
Long non-coding RNA from Siniperca chuatsi (mandarin fish), 2489 nucleotides. RefSeq lists it as uncharacterized. The record is from RefSeq and is a predicted model, not a curated record. The transcript is spliced from 3 exons. NCBI's taxonomy places the organism in Eukaryota, Metazoa, Chordata, Actinopteri, Centrarchiformes, Sinipercidae.